UCCCUGGUGGUCUAGUGGUUAAGGAUCCGGCAUUGUCACUGCUGUGGCACAGGUUCAAUCCCUGGCCCAGGAA
This 73-nucleotide transfer RNA is filed under the name Sus scrofa (pig). It matches the Rfam family "tRNA". Rfam says of the family: Transfer RNA (tRNA) molecules are approximately 80 nucleotides in length. Their secondary structure includes four short double-helical elements and three loops (D, anti-codon, and T loops). Lineage: Eukaryota; Metazoa; Chordata; Mammalia; Artiodactyla; Suidae. The record is from Rfam by way of RNAcentral.